RNAcentral lists this unclassified non-coding RNA (349 nucleotides) under soil metagenome. RNAcentral describes it as "partial contains 5.8S ribosomal RNA, internal transcribed spacer 2, and large subunit ribosomal RNA". The stretch from base 1 to 119 matches the Rfam family "5.8S ribosomal RNA", at positions 35 to 154 of the family's 154-position model. The record is from RNAcentral.
GAUGAAGAACGUAGUGAAAUGCGAUAAGUAAUGCGAAUUGCAGAAUCCGUGAGUCAUCGAAUCUUUGAACGCACAUUGCGCCCUCUGGUAUUCCGGAGGGCAUGCCUGUUCGAGCGUCAUUAUCACCCCUCAAGCCCGGCUUGUUGUUGGAUGCAGCGCUUAUCCCGCUCCUCCCAAAGAUAAUGACGGCGUCUGCGACGACUCCCGUACACUGAGCUUUCGGGCACGUACACGGCUAGAAGUCCAGACCCGGUCGCCGUCCCCCCCGCGGGGACACCCAUUACCACAAGGUUGACCUCGGAUCAGGUAGGAAUACCCGCUGAACUUAAGCAUAUCAAUAAGCGGAGGA